RNAcentral lists this transfer RNA (60 nucleotides) under Pritchardia minor. Its description in RNAcentral is "partial tRNA-Asp". Lineage: Eukaryota; Viridiplantae; Streptophyta; Magnoliopsida; Arecales; Arecaceae. The record is from RNAcentral.
UCCCAGCAAGGUGAAGGGCAUACAUAUUCUUACUAGUUUUAUAAGAACAUUCUAUUCGUU